Molecule: ribosomal RNA, 468 nt
Filed under: uncultured bacterium
Lineage: Bacteria
Description: partial 16S ribosomal RNA
Rfam family: Bacterial small subunit ribosomal RNA
Source: RNAcentral
GACGAACGCUGGCGGCGUGCUUAACACAUGCAAGUCGAACGGAAAGGCCCUGCUUUUGUGGGGUGCUCGAGUGGCGAACGGGUGAGUAACACGUGAGUAACCUGCCCUUGACUUUGGGAUAACUUCAGGAAACUGGGGCUAAUACCGGAUAGGAGCUCCUGCUGCAUGGUGGGGGUUGGAGAGUUUCGGCGGUUGGGGAUGGACUCGCGGCUUAUCAGCUUGUUGGUGGGGUAGUGGCUUACCACGGCUUUGACGGGUAGCCGGCCUGAGAGGGUGACCGGCCACAUUGGGACUGAGAUACGGCCCAGACUCCUACGGGAGGCAGCAGUGGGGAAUAUUGCACAAUGGGCGGAAGCCUGAUGCAGCAACGCCGCGUGCGGGAUGACGGCCGUCGGGUUGUAAACCGCUUUCGCCUGUGACGAAGCGUGAGUGACGGUAAUGGGUAAAGAAGCACCGGCUAACUACGUG